AGCUUUAGUUGUUUUUUUUCUCUCACUCGUGGUUGGGAUGGAAAAAACGCCCAGGACACAUUCCUAAAAGUCCGUUACGCCGUUUUACAAAGUGGGCCGUCAUCAGGACCCGUAGCUAUAAUGGCGGUCCCUACACGGAACAGUGGCGGUUACAGUUUAGGAAAAUGAGACAAUCCUCCCAUGGUAAGUGCUGCUCCCGGCCACUUGUAGUGAGGUACGGUCGGCUUGCCCAGUCAGUCACUAUGACCGCUACCGCUGGAAGCCUUUAGACAGGGCACGGAAUGAAGAGCUCCAUGUCCAGGCCCGGUUGUUGGAUAAAAGCCUUUUUAACAAUCAACGGAAUAAUGGCGUCUUCGGCGACGAUUCCCUACUGGACUUUUUGAAGGUAGCAGACGUCAGCUUUAUUAGAGAGGUUGGUAGCAGACGUCAGCUUUCUUAGAGAGGUUGGUAGC
This is a non-coding RNA of Biomphalaria pfeifferi, 452 nucleotides long. The record is from the annotation of a GenBank genome assembly. NCBI's taxonomy places the organism in Eukaryota, Metazoa, Mollusca, Gastropoda, Planorbidae.